Leptonychotes weddellii (Weddell seal) is the source of this 1455-nucleotide non-coding RNA. Lineage: Eukaryota; Metazoa; Chordata; Mammalia; Carnivora; Phocidae. The record is from RefSeq and is a predicted model, not a curated record.
UAUCCUAUCCAGACAUUUUAUUUGAAAUGACACUAGUAGGUAUAUACAAUUGCCCACUAGUUUUCUCAGGGAAGAGUAGCAGUUGAAAUUCUUUAGAUAAAAAUGAAUCUGUUAAAAUUAAUGUCUGGGUUAAAGCAUCUACAUUUCAAAGCAAGGAAUAAGCUAAUUGUAUCCACAGAGGGCAUUUUAACACACCAGGUUUAAUGCUUAAAAGGCCAUUUUAGAGAAAAAUAGGCAGCAUCCUCACACAGAAAAGCCUCUGGGAGGAUGACAGAUUCCUUUCCUCCAUCCCUCAGAAUAUUUAGAUGCUUCACAUGGAGAACAGCGGAAAGAAGGGAUAACAUACCAGUUGAGCCUGUGUGAGAUAUUUCUUCCACCAAAGAUACUUGUGCAUAGAUGGAAACACAGAAAGGCCAUAGUAGGAGUACAUAAGAAUGUGGAUAAAACUGUUCAGUGUGGGUCCAAAGAAACCUGUGAAAGUACAGUAUAAAAAUUACUGUUCAUUCUUUAUCCAGUGAGACUGGUUCUUCCUGUACACCAUCACUGAAGAUGAAUAGCAACUCCGGUACUAGCAGAUACCAGAAUUUCACAUGGACAGACUCCCUUUCGCUUCUGUGCUCUUACUCCAGGAUUCAGCAAAAGUCCCCGAGACAAGACAAAACUGGGAUGGUUUUUCAGUCAGAGUGUCAACCAAACAGAUCAGAGGUCUGGUUAGAUAAAUGCAAAUCAACGAAUAAGAAAUGAAAACAACACUCGCAUCCAGUAAGUCCUCCGCAAACACAGGCUGGAAUAACUUGUUACAGGGCUUGGAUUUACAUGAAAACACAGAGUUUCAGAGUACCAGCUAGCAUAAGGUAUCCAGUUCAAAACACACCACCAGAUGUUAAACAUGGAGGCAUGAUGGUAUACGUGAAGAAAAGUAAUCUGACUGGUUUUUUUCCGCAAAACAAAGAAAAUUGUGUCCAGGAACUCUACUGAUUUGGAGAAGUAGUACCACCAUAACACCUUAGCUACCUGUAAGAAUGUGGAAACAGAAAAGAGAAAAGGGCCCAGGAGCCGUCUGUACGUAGAAGACUACUUCUUCCGCAUCUCCUCCUCAGAUUUAAAAUCAAGAUGCCUCCAGGGUUGUAUGAAAUGCUGAAUCACUACGCUGUACACCUGAAACUAAUAUUACACCUACAAUUCACAGCACUGAAGAGGUGCUCACAGAAUGUUGGCCAAACAGAACGGAUUAAUCCUUACAGCUCCCCCAUGAGUUAAGGAGGACAAGUACCGGAUCUCCAUUUUAAAGAAUUACUUGGGUUUGGCACAUUGCAAAGGAAUGGGCGAUGCGUGAUGUAAUGCGGGCAGCCAGAGCUGGGCUGGAACGUCGGCCCGGCCUCCACGGUCGUCCUGAGAAACAGCCCCACCACCGCUUUCGCUGUCACAGGGGCCCCAAAGAUGUGGGCAGCUGUC